GCUGGGUAUAUAGCUCAGUGGUAGAACUCUUGCCUAGCAUGAGCAAAGCCCUGGGCUCAAUUCCCAGCACUGCA
Molecule: transfer RNA, 74 nt
Filed under: Marmota monax (woodchuck)
Lineage: Eukaryota; Metazoa; Chordata; Mammalia; Rodentia; Sciuridae
Description: tRNA.Ala
Source: RNAcentral